GAUCCUGGCUCAGGAUGAACGCUAGCUACAGGCUUAACACAUGCAAGUCGAGGGGCAGCAUGGGAGUUGCUUGCAAUCCUGAUGGCGACCGGCGCACGGGUGAGUAACGCGUAUCCAACCUUCCCCUAGUAGGGCAUAGCCCGGUGAAAAUCGGAUUAAUACCCUAUGUUCUUCACAGCAGACAUCUAACGUGAAGCAAAGGUUUACCGCUAAGGGAUGGGGAUGCGUCUGAUUAGGUAGUAGGCGGGGUAACGGCCCACCUAGCCUUCGAUCAGUAGGGGUUCUGAGAGGAAGGUCCCCCACAUUGGAACUGAGACACGGUCCAAACUCCUACGGGAGGCAGCAGUGAGGAAUAUUGGUCAAUGGGCGAGAGCCUGAACCAGCCAAGUAGCGUGCAAGGAUGACGGCCCUAUGGGUUGUAAACUGUCUUUUAUAUGGGGAUAAAGUUCACCACGUGUGGUGUUUUGCAGGUACCAUAUGAAUAAGGACCGGCUAAUUCCGUGCCAGCAGCAGC
This 514-nucleotide ribosomal RNA is filed under the name uncultured bacterium. Its description in RNAcentral is "bacterial SSU rRNA". It matches the Rfam family "Bacterial small subunit ribosomal RNA", at positions 15 to 518 of the family's 1533-position model. The record is from RNAcentral.